GUCUUCCUGAUUCAGCAGCACGCUUAGCUGCACUAUCUGCCAUCCGAUUCCCUUUGGUUACAUCACCAUCUCCUCUCAGAUGCGCUCGACAAUGUAUAAUACCGACUUCUUUCGGCUCCCACACUGCUUCCAAUAGUUGUAGGAUCUCAGCUGCGUAUUUGAUUUCUUUGCCUUCUGAAUUCAAUAGUCCUCUUUCUUUAUACAAAGCUCCGUGGGUAUGAG
Non-coding RNA from Pelobates cultripes (western spadefoot toad), 222 nucleotides. The record is from the annotation of a GenBank genome assembly. Lineage: Eukaryota; Metazoa; Chordata; Amphibia; Anura; Pelobatidae.